AUUGAACGCUGGCGGCAUGCUUUACACAUGCAAGUCGAACGGUAACGGGGACUUCGGUCUGCCGACGAGUGGCGAACGGGUGAGUAAUAUAUCGGAACGUGCCCAGUAAUGGGGGAUAGCUCGGCGAAAGCCGGAUUAAUACCGCAUACGCCCUGAGGGGGAAAGUGGGGGAUCUUCGGACCUCACGUUAUUGGAGCGGCCGAUAUCAGAUUAGCUAGUUGGUGGGGUAAAGGCCUACCAAGGCGACGAUCUGUAGCUGGUCUGAGAGGAUGAUCAGCCACACUGGGACUGAGACACGGCCCAGACUCCUACGGGAGGCAGCAGUGGGGAAUUUUGGACAAUGGGCGAAAGCCUGAUCCAGCCAUGCCGCGUGAGUGAAGAAGACCUCGGUU
Molecule: ribosomal RNA, 392 nt
Filed under: uncultured bacterium
Lineage: Bacteria
Description: bacterial SSU rRNA
Rfam family: Bacterial small subunit ribosomal RNA
Source: RNAcentral